This 466-nucleotide ribosomal RNA is filed under the name Klebsiella pneumoniae. RNAcentral's name for it is "partial 23S ribosomal RNA". It matches the Rfam family "Bacterial large subunit ribosomal RNA", at positions 71 to 576 of the family's 2925-position model. Lineage: Bacteria; Pseudomonadati; Pseudomonadota; Gammaproteobacteria; Enterobacterales; Enterobacteriaceae. The record is from RNAcentral.
AAAAGCGUCGGUAAGGUGAUAUGAACCGUUAGAACCGACGAUGUCCGAAUGGGGAAACCCAGUGCAAUUCGUUGCACUAUCGUUAACUGAAUACAUAGGUUAACGAGGCGAACCGGGGGAACUGAAACAUCUAAGUACCCCGAGGAAAAGAAAUCAACCGAGAUUCCCCCAGUAGCGGCGAGCGAACGGGGAGCAGCCCAGAGUCUGAAUCAGCUUGUGUGUUAGUGGAACGGUCUGGAAAGUCCGACGGUACAGGGUGAUAGUCCCGUACACCAAAAUGCACAGGCUGUGAACUCGAAGAGUAGUGCGUGACACGUGGUAUCCUGUCUGAAUAUGGGGGGACCAUCCGCCAAGGCUAAAUACUCCUGACUGACCGAUAGUGAACCAGUCCCGUGAGGGAAAGGCGAAAAGAACUCCGGCGAGGGGAGUGAAAAAGAACCUGAAACCGUGUACGUACAAGCAGUGG